CCUACGGGGGGCUGCAGUGGGGAAUAUUGGACAAUGGGCGAAAGCCUGAUCCAGCCAUGCCGCUUGUGUGAAGAAGGCCUUCGGGUUGUAAAGCACUUUCAGUGGGGAAGAAAGCCUUGGGGCUAAUACCCUCGAGGAAGGACAUCACCCACAGAAGAAGCACCGGCUAACUCCGUGCCAGCAGCCGCGGUAAUACGGAGGGUGCGAGCGUUAAUCGGAAUUACUGGGCGUAAAGCGCGCGUAGGCGGUCUGAUAAGCCGGUUGUGAAAGCCCCGGGCUCAACCUGGGAACGGCAUCCGGAACUGUCAGGCUAGAGUGCAGGAGAGGAAGGUAGAAUUCCCGGUGUAGCGGUGAAAUGCGUAGAGAUCGGGAGGAAUACCAGUGGCGAAGGCGGCCUUCUGGACUGACACUGACGCUGAGGUGCGAAAGCGUGGGUAGCAAACAGGAUUAGAUACCCCGGUAGUC
This 465-nucleotide ribosomal RNA is filed under the name Vreelandella stevensii. RNAcentral describes it as "partial 16S ribosomal RNA". It matches the Rfam family "Bacterial small subunit ribosomal RNA", at positions 338 to 795 of the family's 1533-position model. Lineage: Bacteria; Pseudomonadati; Pseudomonadota; Gammaproteobacteria; Oceanospirillales; Halomonadaceae. The record is from RNAcentral.